UGGGGAAUAUUGGACAAUGGGCGAAAGCCUGAUCCAGCCAUGCCGCGUGUGUGAAGAAGGUCUUCUGAUUGUAAAGCACUUUAAGUUGGGAGGAAGGGCAGUAACUUAAUACGUUGCUGUUUUGACGUUACCGACAGAAUAAGCACCGGCUAACUCUGUGCCAGCAGCCGCGGUAAUACAGAGGGUGCAAGCGUUAAUCGGAAUUACUGGGCGUAAAGCGCGCGUAGGUGGUUUGUUAAGUUGGAUGUGAAAUCCCCGGGCUCAACCUGGGAACUGCAUUCAAAACUGACAAGCUAGAGUAUGGUAGAGGGUGGUGGAAUUUCCUGUGUAGCGGUGAAAUGCGUAGAUAUAGGAAGGAACACCAGUUGCGAAGGCGACCACCUGGACUGAUACUUACACUGAGGUGCGAAAGCGUUGGGAGCAAACA
Molecule: ribosomal RNA, 427 nt
Filed under: uncultured Pseudomonas sp.
Lineage: Bacteria; Pseudomonadati; Pseudomonadota; Gammaproteobacteria; Pseudomonadales; Pseudomonadaceae
Description: bacterial SSU rRNA
Rfam family: Bacterial small subunit ribosomal RNA
Source: RNAcentral